Molecule: ribosomal RNA, 431 nt
Filed under: uncultured bacterium
Lineage: Bacteria
Description: bacterial SSU rRNA
Rfam family: Bacterial small subunit ribosomal RNA
Source: RNAcentral
AACGAACGCUGGCGGCAGGCCUAACACAUGCAAGUCGAGCGCGCCUUCGGGUGAGCGGCGGACGGGUUAGUAACGCGUGGGAACGUGCCCUUCUCUACGGAAUAGCCUCUGGAAACGGAGAGUAAUACCGUAUACGCCCUUUGGGGGAAAGAUUUAUCGGAGAAGGAUCGGCCCGCGUUAGAUUAGGUAGUUGGUGGGGUAACGGCCUACCAAGCCUACGAUCUAUAGCUGGUUUUAGAGGAUGAUCAGCAACACUGGGACUGAGACACGGCCCAGACUCCUACGGGAGGCAGCAGUGGGGAAUCUUAGACAAUGGGGGCAACCCUGAUCUAGCCAUGCCGCGUGAGUGAUGAAGGCCUUAGGGUCGUAAAGCUCUUUCGCCUGUGAUGAUAAUGACAGUAGCAUGUAAAGAAACCCCGGCUAACUCCGUG